This is a long non-coding RNA of Lacerta agilis (Sand lizard), 834 nucleotides long. RefSeq lists it as uncharacterized. Lineage: Eukaryota; Metazoa; Chordata; Lepidosauria; Squamata; Lacertidae. The record is from RefSeq and is a predicted model, not a curated record. The transcript is spliced from 2 exons.
GAUGUCACACACAGGCAAUGGAACCACACUUCUUCAAACCAGUCCCUUGCAGGCAGUGUUCCAAGAGCAACAAAAGCCUCCUUCAACUGCCCAGCAGAGAAUGCCUGCCUCAUGCAUCAUUUGACUGCUGAUACGUUAACAGCCAAGAGAGGGUCAGUGACAUUGGAUCAAUUGUGACAGUUCUUCUCAUCCAUGCAAGCAGGAAUAAGACGGCAAGACCAUAUUCUUUCUUCGCUUCUCGUUCCUAGACAUACAUUUGAACCAACAGGAAUUAAGCAUCCACAAUUCUUAACCUUCUCGAUCUGUCCCACACAUGUACAAGUCACCUCCAGCAGAGCUAUUAAGUUAUUACAUUGCGUUUUUAUAUGAACAUCAUUCCCUUUUUCAGAGAGAAGAUAAGCUUUCAAUUAACGGCAGAUUUAAGCCAGCUUUAUUGGGAGGGAGGCCAGCCUCAUUUCCCACACAAGGAGGGAGAGAGCUUUCUUCCUUUCCUCUCUGUGCUGUAAAAUAAUGAUGGAAAUGAACAUCUCUGUCCAUUAUGAGAACAACUUUGAUUAGAUCAAGAGGGCUAACCUCCAAUUCUGGCUUGUUAGAAUGGAUUUUCAGCUAUGUAGGAAAGCAAUGUGGGGUCCUGGAUUUGUGGCAUGCCUGGCCAAUUUUAAUGCAGAGAUAUGAGAAUACUAAAAGUAUUCCUGCACUGCUGUGGAAAAGUUAAGCCUAUCAUGCAAGGGCACUGUGCAGAUUUAAUUACAGAUUUUCCCCAGAAAUCCAUAGAAACUGUGAUUAAAUUCCUAAUUGCUUUUGAAGAAGUGAAUAAACAGUCAAUAAGACUAA